CAUAUGGCCAUGAAACAUCGAGCCGGCCAUCCAUGGUAGCUAUCGAUGAUAGCAAAGCCAUGGUCCUGGUGAUAGUAAAGCCCCGAUGAUGGCCUUAAUGGCAGCUGUUGCUGGUGGCAUGGUGGGGAAGAAAUAAAAAAGACAAUGAUUGCCCUAUUUUGAUUAAACCGAUGACUUGCUAGCUCCAAUCAGGCACCGACGAUCAGGAAACAACCACA
This 218-nucleotide long non-coding RNA is filed under the name Elaeis guineensis (African oil palm). RNAcentral describes it as "long non-coding RNA (EGUI_LNC039924)". The record is from RNAcentral. Lineage: Eukaryota; Viridiplantae; Streptophyta; Magnoliopsida; Arecales; Arecaceae.